Molecule: ribosomal RNA, 501 nt
Filed under: uncultured bacterium
Lineage: Bacteria
Description: partial 16S ribosomal RNA
Rfam family: Bacterial small subunit ribosomal RNA
Source: RNAcentral
AUUGAACGCUGGCGGCAUGCCUUACACAUGCAAGUCGAACGGCAGCACGGGUGCUUGCACCUGGUGGCGAGUGGCGAACGGGUGAGUAAUAUAUCGGAACGUACCUUAUUGUGGGGGAUAACGCAGCGAAAGCUGUGCUAAUACCGCAUAAUCCCUUAGGGGGAAAGCGGGGGACCGUAAGGCCUCGCGCAAUUAGAGCGGCCGAUACCCGAUUAGCUAGUUGGUGAGGUAAAGGCUCACCAAGGCGACGAUCAGUAGCUGGUCUGAGAGGACGAUCAGCCACACGGGGACUGAGACACGGCCCAGACUCCUACGGGAGGCAGCAGUGGGGAAUUUUGGACAAUGGGGGCAACCCUGAUCCAGCAAUGCCGCGUGAGUGAAGAAGGCCUUCGGGUUGUAAAGCUCUUUUGUCAGGGAAGAAACAGCAGCUCUAACACAGUAUGCGAAUGACGGUACCUGAGGAAUAAGCACCGGCUAACUACGUGCCAGCCGCCGCGGUAA